Molecule: ribosomal RNA, 457 nt
Filed under: uncultured beta proteobacterium
Lineage: Bacteria; Pseudomonadati; Pseudomonadota; Betaproteobacteria
Description: bacterial SSU rRNA
Rfam family: Bacterial small subunit ribosomal RNA
Source: RNAcentral
GGGCUGCAGUGGGGAAUUUUGGACAAUGGGGGCAACCCUGAUCCAGCCAUGCCGCGUGAGUGAAGAAGGCCUUCGGGUUGUAAAGCUCUUUCAGCCGGAAAGAAAUCGCUACUCCUAAUACGAGUGGUGGAUGACGGUACCGGAAGAAGAAGCACCGGCUAACUACGUGCCAGCAGCCGCGGUAAUACGUAGGGUGCGAGCGUUAAUCGGAAUUACUGGGCGUAAAGCGUGCGCAGGCGGUUUUGUAAGACAGAUGUGAAAUCCCCGGGCUCAACCUGGGAACUGCAUUUGUGACUGCAAGGCUAGAGUAUGGCAGAGGGGGGUAGAAUUCCACGUGUAGCAGUGAAAUGCGUAGAGAUGUGGAGGAAUACCGAUGGCGAAGGCAGCCCCCUGGGUCAAUACUGACGCUCAUGCACGAAAGCGUGGGGAGCAAACAGGAUUAGAUACCCCAGUAGUC